This 9462-nucleotide long non-coding RNA is filed under the name Heterocephalus glaber (naked mole-rat). RNAcentral's name for it is "lncRNA (ENSHGLG00100034937.1)". Lineage: Eukaryota; Metazoa; Chordata; Mammalia; Rodentia; Bathyergidae. The record is from RNAcentral.
UGACCCUGAGCACUGCUGGUCACUGACAACCCUGACAGGUCCUUCUGAGGCCUUCAGUGCUUUGUUAAAAAGAAAGGAAGAAACAAUAAUUAAGUUCUAGUCACAUCUCUCCUCUUCCCAGAGCACUAUUCCUAUUUAAUUGAAUUUUUCAGCAUUUUUUAUCCUGGGAAGCAAAAUGGCAAGAGUCUCCUCUACAACCCAGGCAGGGAACUAAGCUGCUGAGAAGCCUGGACACCAAGUAAGGAUGAGGCCCACAUGAGAUGAGCCAUGAGCAGUCCAAGUGCCUGGCUGUCAUUCCAGAUGAGACAAGGAGUGGCCCCUCAGAGCAGGACCUGUGGUGGCACUGGAUAGGUGGGACCUGCUGGGUGGGAAGGGCCCUUUUGGCCCAGUGCUGGGAAGCACCUUUUACAGGCAACAGGCUUUACCUGUCUGGCAGCUCAGGGAGCCUCUGGCAAUUGCUGAGGACCCACUGUACUAUGAGAAAUCUGUAGUAAGAUCAAGCAAAGCCAGAGGGGGAAAGAUUGGAAUACAGAAUCAGAUGGGCAACAGAGAAGCAAACAGAGGAAGAAAAAAGUAUGUGGCAACAGAACACACUGAAUCAGCCCGCUGCAGACAGGCAGGUCUGUGCAUGCCCUGCCGAGGUCCCGAGUCGCCUGGAAGACACCGAAUCACCCCGCUGCAGACAGGCAGCCACCUGGUUCCACACUACAAAGACGCAGAGGACACCAGACCACCAGACCAAGCUUUGUUUCUAUUUUAUCUGUCUUUUCUCAUGUUUUCCCCUUUCUUCCUCGGCCCCUUCCCCCUUCCUAGUGCCCCUUCCCAUUAACUUUUUUAUGCACAAUAUCUCAAUGUAUUAUUGUUAAAUGAAUUCAUACUAUGGACAGUACAGUCAAAACAAUGUAAUGGCUUCUUUCUCCAAUGCUUGGGUUGUCUUAGAAAAGCCAUCUUUUCCGGAUGGGUAAUUCAUGUUUUUUGUUUGUUUGUUUGAGACAAGGUCUUGCUAUGUAGUUCAGGUUGGCUUUGUACUCAUGGCGAUUCUCCUGCAUCAGCCUCCCAUGUGCUGGGAUGACAGGCAUGCACCACACCAGGCAAUGGGCAACUCAUAUGAAUGGCUUGUGAAUGACUUGGAUUCCUUAGGCAGUUUCCCUGAGGAUCUCACACGCACUUAGCCACUGGUCCCCCUGAGACCACAUGGUAUAGAUAAUGCUGUUCAAAACUUCUAGCGGAAGUGGAAGUAGAACAACACAUCCUGGGUUAUAAUGGAGCAGAUGGUUCAGGACCCCAGCAGCCAACAUGACUCCUCCUGCACAGCAGUCUGUUCUGUACUCAGCAAAGAAUCUCUUGUUGCCUCUGGGGAACUGAGUUAAGGAGGUUUUGCAAAUCCAUGGUCUGCUGCGGCCACUGCAGCAGCCAGUGUCCACCAUAGACAGUCACUACUGCCGGACCUCAUGCUUUUUCCACCCAAGCCCAGAUAUGCACCCGAUUCUUUCCCGGAAGGUGCUUGGAGGCAGCUGGCAGCCAUCGGCAUCAGCAUGUGAGAUUCACUUUGCCACAGGUUCACCUUUUAUGGGAUAACACAAUCAUCCUAUUAUAUUAUAGGCUGAAUUAUGUCUCCCUCAAAAAUUCAUGUGUUAGCCAGGUGAGGCGGCACAAGCUGUAAUCCCAAAACUCUGGAGGCUGAGACAAUCUGGGCAACUUAGUGACUUAAAGAGACCUUGUCUUAAAAAUAAAAUGCAGAAAAAGGUGUGGGAACCUAGUGAAGGCCUUGUUCAAUCCCUAGUAGCACACACCCACAAACACACACAAACACACACACACACACACACACACACACGUGUUGAAGCCUGAAUUCCCGUAUUUUAGAAUGUACCUGUACUUGGACCAGUCCUGUAAAGAAUAAUUAAAUUAAAAUGAAGUCAUUAGGGUGGGUUCUAACAGACAAUGACUAGUGUCAUUAUGAGGACAUCUAGACAUAGGCUAAAGAGGACAAGUAAUGACAUAAGGAGAAGCCAGAAUCUCCCAGCCAAAGUGGAAGGCCAAGAAUAGACAUGUCCUUCACAGUGCUCGGAAGAAACCAACACCGCAUGCUCUCGAUCGCAGACAUCCAGCCUCCAGGACUACAAGAAAAUUACUGUCUGGUGCUGGAACCACGCAGUCUGUGGUACUGUUAUUGCAGCCUGAGAAAACCAACACACGUCUCACAAAUAGGACAAAAGUACAAGUAAAACUACAAGUGAUUGAGAAAUGUUUCAAUUUCUUUUCUUUUUUAAGACAACAGUUUCUCACUAUGCAGUUCAGGUUGGCCUUGAACUCCUUACAAUCCUCCUGCCUCACCCUCCCUAGUGAUUAUAGGCAUGCCCCACCAUGCUCAGCUCAUGACUCCAACCAUAUGAAAUGGCUCUUCGGUGGGCAGAAUAAUGUCGGCCAAAGGCAUCCAUGAUCCAGUCCCCAAACCUGGGAACAUAAUAGGUCACACUGCAAAGAGGAGGGAAGGUUAUAGUUGGAAUUAAGGUUGCAAAUCACUUGAUCUUAAAAUAGGGAGGUAAGCCUGGAUUUUCUGGGUGGGCUCAAUGGAAUUGCCGGGGUCCUCUAAAAGUGGAAGGGGAAGCAGAGGAGAGAGACAGAGUUAGGCAAUGCAACUCACCAUUGGUGGCCCUGAAAAUGGAGGGAAAGCCCAGGAGCCAGGCCAACAAUGGCCUCUGGAAGCUGCAAAAGGCAAGGGAAUGGUUCUCCUCUCUGGUGCGCAGAGACUUGUGCAAGUAGUGCUCAAAACACCACUGACUUCCUGGUCACGUGAAUCAGAAUCUGUGAGUGUGGGUCCUCAGACUCCCAUCCCCCCAGUACAGUCCAGUCUGGCCAGGACUGAGAACCCAUGUGUGCCAGAGCCCCCUGGAAGCCCAGUUUCAAUGCAGGCUACUGCAACCCACUCUUGGGACUCCUCGUUCACUAGGAAUGGGGGAGACCUCAGAAUUUUCUUUUCUUUUUAAAAAAAUUUAACAGGAUACAAUUCACUUUCUGGGCCAGGGAUUUAGCUCAGUGGUUCCACUGCCUGCCUUGCAUGUGCAAGGUCCCAAGUUUGAUCCCCAGUACCAAAAAAAAAGCAUUAGUUCACAUUCUGUUGCGGGUUUUUUUGGUACCGGGGAUCAAACUCAGGACCUUGUACUUGCGAGGCAGGUGCAGUGCCACUGAGCUAAAUCCCCAGCCCUACAAUUCAUAUUCUGUAAUGGCAACUUCUUUAAAGUGGUUAACUUGGUAGUUUUCAGAAUAGUCAGAAGGUUGUGCAACCAUUAGCACUAACUCAUUCUAGAACAUUUUCAUCAUCCCAGAGGAAUCCAUUAGCAGCCACUUCCCAUUCCCCAUUUGCACCAGCAACUGGAAGCCACUAACCUAUUUUCUUUUUUUUUUUUUUUAGUACCAGGGAUCGAACUCAGGACCUUGCACUUGCGAGGCAGGUGGCAGAACCACUGAGCUAAAUCCCUGGCUAACCUAUUUUCUUUCUCCAUAUAUUUUCCUAUUCUGUUCAUUUCAUAUAAACAGAAUCAUAUAAUCUGUAGUCCUUUGUGACUGGCUUCUUUCACUUACCACAGUAUUGUAAUGUGUAUCAGUAUUUCAUUCCCUUUUUAUGGAGGAGUAAUAUUUCCCUGUGGAUCUAUCACAUUCCAUUUAUCUAAAAUGCAUCAGCUGAUGGGUAGCAGGGUUGCUUCUACUUUUUGCCUAUUGAGAAUAAUGCUGCUGUGAACAUUUACAUAGGAGUUUUUGUAUAGCAUACAUAUAUAUUCUCUUGGAAUAUACAUACAGGAAGGACACUGCUGGGUAACAUGCUGACUGCAUUCAUUGAGAAUGAGCUUCUCCAACAAGCUCCCAGAUGAGGCUAAAGUGAGCGGUCUGGGAACCAAGCUGUGAAACCACAAAUCUCAGGAUGCUGGACAACAGUCUCUUCCCUCCUGUGCUCUGCAUGCUUGAUAUCUGGGCUUUGUUGGUCCCUUGGUCUGAAGUGUCUGCCUUUUCAUCCACAUCUUGUGACACCUUAGUCAAGUUUUAGGUUCAUCCCAAGGCCGCCUCCACCAAAAGUCAGUGAAAACAUCAUCUAUCUGUGUGGCUUUCUUGCCCACUGGCUGAACUGUAAGCUCCUUGCGGCCAUUGCUGGUGCUUGAAUCAUUUUGGUAUGAAAGCCUAGAACCCCAGCAUGGUCUCCAUAGAUUGUCGGCACUCAUAUGUUCGAUUGAAUACAAUACCAGGUCUGUUGACUGUUCUCAAGAGAUGACCCUAGAAUGUGUGUCUUGCUUUUUCCAAAUACCUGAUAAGUUCCAACAACUUAGUACUUCCUGGAGACUUCUUACAAGUUCCUCCCCAGAUGGUCUUGUGAUCAGGAGAUAGAAGGUCAAAGUACAAAGAUCCCUUCAUGUUCUAUCAUAGGGAUGGUUUUUGUGAUUGCUUCUUGGACACAGAUGCAAUUGUAGUCUUAGAAGCCAGAAUCUGUGCAGAAUGCUAGUUAGCAAAAUCUUCGUAGCAAAACAUUUCUUCAAAUGUAGAGGAGUGUCUGUCUACAGCUUUUCAGGCAAUUCUCAUAGAUAUUCAUGGAAUAUUGCUACACAACACUUUCCAUUUCCCUAGCAAAGUUGAGAAAUAGCAGAAAUAUGGAAUCAGCCCUCUCCUGACAAACUUGUAAUGAAGGGCUUAGUAGGAAGUACUGCUCAGUACUGAGAUUAAACAUGGAGCUGGCAGCUACACACACCCAUGGGGCUUCCAAAAUAGUCUUCCAAAGGCUGUGUGCACCAGCUUAUAUGUUUAUCCUCCCAGCUUCUCCGGGACCCAGCGCAUGAGUGCAGACUUCAAGUGGCUAGGAAUUCCCUCUCCUCUGGGUAAAAAGCAAAGGACAAGAUUUCCACCACCCUCUCUUGGUGGUGUGGAUGAAACCUCACUUGUCAUGGUGGACAUUUUGGAAAACCAUGGGCCACUUACAUUUCCUGUUGCCCAAUUUCUUCCAAAGUGCUGAAGACUGAAGCCAGGCAGUGUGGCAUUUUCCACACAGUCAUCAUCACUGACAUCUCUUUUCAGGCUCCGGCAGCCUUUCUACCCCAGGGAGGACCGUUUUCUUCCUCAGCAAGGAUCCUGUGAACUUGUGUUCUUCAGCCACUUUCUGUCACAUUUACCCAUCCCAGAGUCUUUUUACAAUAUUUUAUGAUAAAAAUAAUUAUAUUUUAUUUCUUUUUGCUCUAUUUUGAGGUAAGAAAGAUGGUUUCAUGUUUUAUAUCCUUGUAGUAAUUCUGUAAAGAAAACAGUGGAAAAUGAAAAAGCAUGUGGCUUUUUAAAAAACUAAGCUAAAACAGUUAGGCUCUGUGAAGUAGGUUAGAAAACUGUUUAAGCCAGGCACAGUGGUGCACGCCUGUAUCCUAGCACUCUUCGAGGCUGAGGCAGGAGGAUUCCAAAUACAAGUCCAGCCUAGACAAUUUAACAACUUAGAGAGACCCUGUGUAAAAAUAAAAAAGGGGCUGUUGUUGUAGCUCAGUGUGGAGUCCCUGGGUUCAAUGACAGAGAGAGAGAGAGAGAGAGAGAGAGAGAGAGAGAGAGAGAGCUGUUUGAUAUAUAGCUCAGUGCUAUAGAGCACUUGUCUAGCGUCUAGCAUAAAUGAACCCCUGGAACUGAUGCUCAGUAAUACAAAAACACAACACAUAAGCAAACAGAACAAUGGGAAUGGGGGAGAAAGAGGUGAUGAGCUGAGUCACUUUGGAAAGCAGUGUUUUGAUAGCAAACUCCAAGACUAGGGACACUAUACAUGAGCACUGUAUUCUAGUUCAGAACCCUGUUUCUCAGGAGGACACGAGUUAACAAUUCUGAAAUUUUUGUGCAUGGAUUCUGUGGUUGAACAAAUAAAUAAAUGGGCAGCAGAUGGUGGAAACUAGAAUUCUCAUUCAUUCUUGGAAAGAAAGAUGAGAUGCAGGGGAAGGCUAGAAUGGACAGUGUUGAAUUACACUAGAUCUGGAGACAUCGGAAUUAUCAAAUAUUUAGUCUAACAUAGAUAUAGAUGGAUGCAUACUGAAAUACUUGUAGAUACAAGUGUUGGGAGGUGUACACGUGAUCCUAGCUCUGUCCUCUGAGGGAGCCUGGGACCGAUGACACCCAGCAAUAAGUACACCUAGUGUCCCGAUCUUGAUUUUCAAUCCCUUCCUCCAAGGAACUAGGAACCUUGGGAGAAAUGGCUGCUUCCAGGUCUGAGGAUGUGCCAGAUGAGCCUGGGGCACCAUGGAAGGCCACACAAGACCACAGUGCUCAAAACAAAACACUGGAGACAGGAAAGGGACACGGGAGUCAACCGAGCGCUCCUAGAGACCAAAGCUGUCCUUCUGAUCAACAGAAUAAUAACGAUGGGUUCAGAUUAGAAGUAUAAAUCUCAUAAGGCCACACUGCUAAAAUAAAUGAUUGCAAAAAGAAAUAAAUGGAGAAUGUUAGACUCAGCGAAAAAGAACCAACCAGAGACUGAUAUUAAAUCCACACAGGAGUUUAUUACCAGCCGGGACCCGAGCCGAGCAUCAGACUCCAGCCCCAACUGGGGGAGACAAACAUAUUUUAUACACCUUUGAGGCCAACAGUUUCCAGGCCCCACUAUGGGAUAGAACUAGUAAAGCAAGCAAAAGGUACAGAAGCAGAACGUCCUGCUGUUAGAACAUUUGUCAAACAAUAGUUAAUUGUUAUUUCUAAAGGGACCUUUCAAGGGGAGGAGGUUUCUAAGCUUCCUCCUUCUGAGUUCAUCUAAAGGACAGGCAGGUGGGUCAAGCAGCAAUAUGGAGUCUGUCUUGCUAACUAGGGUCCUUCAGAGAAGAAACAAAUACAAGAAAUAAACUGAAGAUUUCACUACUAUUUCUGCUCUGUAAUUCUUCUCUUGACCCUGCUUAGUGUCACUGGACUUCUGGCGUCUAUGGUCUUGUCACUAUGCCCAAUACCUGGGACAGGUCCUGAUCUCCUCUACCCAUCAGUUAUCACGCAGCGACCACCCUGCACCCUAGCUCUGGAGGAAGCCGCUCUUUUCUUUCGGACAUGCUGCUCCUUCCUUGCUCUCACUAGCUGGGGUGUAUCUGUUUACCUUGACCCAUUUUACCAUUAAGUCACGGAGAUGAGUCAGCACUUUUCUUGUUUUCCUUUGCUGCUUCACGCACAACCACCUCCUCUUUGUCAUUUUGUAUGUGCCAGAUAUGGUAAUGGCUUGCACAGUUACUGACAAUAUAUUUUGGUUUUUCAUAUUUCUUUCUAACUGUCUCACCAUAAUUUUGAGAAAUUUCAAAGACAUCCACCUCCUUUUUUAAUUUUUAGAAUAAAGCAAGUUAUAAAUAAAUAUAUACACAUUCAUCUCAUUUUAUGUCCUAUUUCUUCAGUUACUUGUGUGUUUCAAGUCUAAUAAUAUUUACCUCUACUCCUUUGUGGUGACGAUGGUGGUGAUAAUUUUACAGAACAGAUCCCCACUUGCAUUCUGUAUUACUGCAGUAUUUCCCACUCUCAGAACACCAAAUCUUUGCUCUUCCACACCAUAUACUGCCCGCCUUUCCUUCUGUAACCUUUCCUUUCCUCUUGCCCUCAGGCUUCAUUUUUGACUCCUUCCAGCCUGAAACCCAUGGUUUUACCUUUAAUCACUUUACCAAGGCUCUCAGCUCUCCUGCCUCUUUGUCCUUCAGUGACAUUCUAUAAAAUGUCCCCCAUCUUCCUUCCCAAUCCUUUGCCCCAGCCCCAACACCCCAUUGGAAAAAAUCACUUAACUCUUCAUCUGUUGUCUACAUUUUUUGGUGUCUAUUUUCUUUUCAAAACCCCAGAAAUGCCAGGCGUGGUGGGCACGCCUAUAAUCCCAGCACUCAAGAGGCUGAGGCAGGAGAAUUGCUGUGAGUUUGAGGCCAGCCUGGGCUACACAAUGAGUUUAAGGCCAGCCUGAAGUACAUAGCAAGACCCUGUCUCAAAAACCCCCAGAAAUCCUUCCCUACUUUUCUAGUUGCCAUUUUCUCCCAUGCGCUUUACUGGAUGACGUGAGCACGUGACAUUGUAACUGGGUGACACAACAAGACUGAGCUGAGAGUCCUUCAGGCAGCUGUGCUGGGGGCUCCUCCAGGUCAAGGUGGGAAGAACGUGCAAAUGCAUUCUGUGAGUAACAAACGGAUCUGCUGUUGGUACUGGUUUCCUUAAUUACUGCUAGCAGAUUUUGUUUACAAUUUACUAAAGAAAGCAAAGCCAUUGUGGAGAUCUCUGUGUCUCCUGUGCUCCCCGUGUAAACACCUCAACAUCUGCACCUGAACACAAUCCUCUUGUCCUGUGGCCUGGAGCCCCACCCCUCUGUCUACUAGGAACUCAUUCCUCUCCCUCCUGGCAGGGGUCAAGCCAGGCUUGAAGCAUUCCCUUCCCUUCCCUUCCCCUGAAUGGAAACUGGGGCAGGGUAAACAAUAAAGGUAGGUAGAAGGGAGGUAAGGAAAUCCGUAAUUUUAAAAUUGUACUUUAAAAAAACACAGUUUAUAUAUUUUUUCCUUCCAAGCUACUCACUCCUAAAUUCCUAAAUCUUAAAAAAUACAUUAAAUUGGGGGCGUAAUUUUCUCCUCUAAAGUGGGCCCUUGCCUUGUAAACAGGCUCUUGCCUUUCACCUGUAAACUGAGCUGGAUUUCCUCUCUCUACUGUAGAUUCACAAAUUCCACAGAUCUCCACCCCCAACUCCAGCCUGGGACCAUAACCUGCUCUCUUUUGAGGGCCUGCAGGCACUCUAUUCUCUCUGAGUCUGUGAUUUUAAAAUUCCCUAUUAAACCUGUCUAUGCCUCCUACCGAGGUGUCAUGAAAAUUCUUCUUCCGUGACGGGAGUCAGAGAAGCUAUAAUAUGUUUUGUGGGGUGUUAGUGGACGUCCCCAUCUCCUCUUUGAGAAUCCCCCUCAGACCCCAUCUGGUGACAGAAACUAAGGAGAAUCCUCACCGAAGUUCAAGUUCUUUUCAACUAUCUCAUCUCAAAAUGUCUCCAGCAUACCUGAGGGAUGAUGGUAUUGUGCCUCAUGGAAUCUUGAAAACUCCGAAAGAUUUAAGAAUAUGCUUUAUUCUUCUUAUAAGCCUGGCCCUUCAGGGUUGAUAUUUUUCUUGGGAGAUGUCUGAGUAGAGAUGAGGGGAAGUGAGAGGCCACUCCUGCCCUGUGCACGCUGUUCCUGCAGAUGGGCUCCACAGAUGAGUCCUGUCAAUUCCCAGUCCUGUGUCCCUCAGGGCAAGGCCCCUUGGGCAGCUGCUGUGUCUCUCUGCUUCCUCUCCCAGUCCGGCUGACUGAACGAACAAUGGUCCGCUCCUGAGUGUCAUUCUCUCACUCAGCCCUCUCCUCACUGUCACUGCCACCUGUCACUUCCAUCCGCCUCACAUACCUGCUGGGCACUUCCUGCUCCAUCCUUCUCACCAUCUCUGUAAUAUUCAAACCCUGGACUAUGACCACUGCAGAGGAUCUCACCUGGUUUCUCU